RNAcentral lists this long non-coding RNA (972 nucleotides) under Homo sapiens (human). RNAcentral describes it as "non-protein coding lnc-ARHGAP24-1:3". Lineage: Eukaryota; Metazoa; Chordata; Mammalia; Primates; Hominidae. The record is from RNAcentral.
AGACAGCCUCUCAGCUCUUAGCCCCCUUUGAGGAUGACCUCAGCUGACAAAAGCUGCCUAACCUAGCCUACACACUCUUCAUAGGUAGCCUUCAUUCAAUGACUGAUGAACAUGUGGUUAUAAAAGCCUGGCCACUUCACCCCAAUUCAGGACAGCUGGUGUUGGCCCCCAAAAUACUUCCUAAUAAAUCUCCUGCAUGAAAUCACCAUCUCAAAGUGUACCUUCUGGAGAAUACAGUGUUUGGAAAGCAGUAAGUCAUGGCUAAAUACAGCAAUAUGCUCUGGAGUUCACUUGGAUACUUCCCUAGGCAAAAGGCAAGUCCAAUUAUGGAUAAACAUGGCUAGACUACGAGCUCAACAUCAAGAAAAGCCAUUUCACCUAUGUAACCAACUAACCUAGAUGACCAAGCCUAAUUAUAGAGUUUUCAUUCAAAACCACUUUGUGCUUGGUAGACACUAAAUUGAAGCAAGGCAGCAAGUGGGUCUCACAGCCAGUCCCUCAAAGACGUAUCAAAAGCAGGAACUUCUUAAAACACUAGAAACUGAACUAGUACUUUACAACCCAUCAGCAAACUAAAGACGGGGAAGACCACACAAAGAUUAUUCACCUUAAUCAAAAACAUGGGACCAGCUCAGCAGCUCAUCACCACAGAAAAUAGAUGAAUGGAAAGAAAAUGGCUGCUCUAGACACGAGGCAAUUUCUGGAAAUCAGGAUGGUGACAUUGGAGAAGAAACUGAAGAUUCUUGGAGAAAUAUUAACUUCAUCUCAGUAAAAUGGAAGGCUUGCCAUGUUUCUCCUGUGGCUUUGACUACUCCUGGCACAUUGUACCUGCAACUUCCCUGCCUGGCCCUCACCCUGAGGCACAAAGACUCCAGUUUGAAAAGUGUGAGAUUAACAAAUAGAUUUUGUUCUCUUUACCAAAAUUUUAUUAUAUAGCUUAUUCUAUAUAAUGACAAGGUAACUGCAUUUUCU